RNAcentral lists this ribosomal RNA (253 nucleotides) under uncultured bacterium. RNAcentral describes it as "partial 16S ribosomal RNA". It matches the Rfam family "Bacterial small subunit ribosomal RNA", at positions 524 to 776 of the family's 1533-position model. The record is from RNAcentral. RNAcentral also lists the same sequence under 1 other name.
UACGUAGGUGGCAAGCGUUGUCCGGAUUUAUUGGGUUUAAAGGGUGCGUAGGCGGUCUUAUAAGUCAGUGCUGAAAUAUCCCGGCUUAACCGGGAGGGUGGCAUUGAUACUGUAGGACUUGAGUAGAGUUGAGGUUGGCGGAAUUGACGGUGUAGCGGUGAAAUGCUUAGAUAUCGUCAAGAACACCGAUAGUGAAGACAGCUAACUAAGCUCUAACUGACGCUGAGGCACGAAAGUGUGGGGAUCAAACAGG